AGUAAGUUGUGCGGUCGCGCGGUAUGAUGUUACCGUGAGGAAAGUCCGAGCACCGCAGAGCAGGAUAACGGCUAACGGCCGCCGGGGGUGACCCUAGGGAAAGUGCAACAGAGAGAUACCGCCGCGGUUUUCGCGGUAAGGGUGGAAAGGCGAGGUAAGAGCUCACCGGCGCAUUGGAGACAGUGCGGCCAUGUAAACCCUAUCCGGUGCAACAUUGACAAGGGGCAUACGUCUGCUCGGCGUUACCCUGAAAAAUGGCUAGAGGCGUGUGGCAACACCCGUCCCAGAUAGAUGAUCGCACACGACAGAACUCGGCUUACAGACUUACUCU
RNAcentral lists this RNase P RNA (331 nucleotides) under chicken gut metagenome. Its description in RNAcentral is "Bacterial RNase P class A". It matches the Rfam family "Bacterial RNase P class A". Rfam says of the family: Ribonuclease P (RNase P) is a ubiquitous endoribonuclease, found in archaea, bacteria and eukarya as well as chloroplasts and mitochondria. Its best characterised activity is the generation of mature 5'-ends of tRNAs by cleaving the 5'-leader elements of precursor-tRNAs. The record is from RNAcentral.